This 253-nucleotide ribosomal RNA is filed under the name uncultured bacterium. RNAcentral's name for it is "partial 16S ribosomal RNA". It matches the Rfam family "Bacterial small subunit ribosomal RNA", at positions 524 to 776 of the family's 1533-position model. The record is from RNAcentral.
GACGAACCGUGCGAACGUUGUUCGGAAUCACUGGGCUUAAAGGGCGCGUAGGCGGGCUAACAAGUCUGGAGUGAAAUGCCGCGGCUCAACCGUGGAACUGCCUCAGAUACUGUCGGCCUCGAGGAAGGUAGGGGCAUGCGGAACUGUAGGUGGAGCGGUGAAAUGCGUUGAUAUCUACAGGAACUCCGGUGGCGAAAGCGGCGUGCUGGACCUUUUCUGACGCUGAGGCGCGAAAGCUAGGGGAGCAAACGGG